This 292-nucleotide ribosomal RNA is filed under the name uncultured bacterium. Its description in RNAcentral is "partial 16S ribosomal RNA". It matches the Rfam family "Bacterial small subunit ribosomal RNA", at positions 505 to 796 of the family's 1533-position model. The record is from RNAcentral.
GUGCCAGCAGCCGCGGUAAUACGGAGGGUGCAAGCGUUGUUCGGAAUUAUUGGGCGUAAAGCGCGUGUAGGCGGGAAGGCAGGUCAGGUGUGAAAUCCCUUGGCUUAACCAAGGAACUGCAUCUGAAACCAUUUUCCUCGAGUACGAUAGGGGAGGGCGGAAUUCCCAGUGUAGAGGUGAAAUUCAUAGAUAUUGGGAGGAACACCAGUGGCGAAGGCGACCCUCUGGAUCGAUACUGACGCUGAGACGCGAAAGCGUGGGUAGCAAACAGGAUUAGAUACCCCCGUAGUCC